ACCCAUCUGCAACCGCUCAGAGAAAGUUUCUAAGAGUUCUAAACCACUUUUAAUGGCGAGUCUCGGUGUCAGA
Molecule: regulatory RNA element, 73 nt
Organism: Eremococcus coleocola ACS-139-V-Col8
Lineage: Bacteria; Bacillati; Bacillota; Bacilli; Lactobacillales; Aerococcaceae
Source: Rfam